This 336-nucleotide ribosomal RNA is filed under the name uncultured bacterium. Its description in RNAcentral is "bacterial SSU rRNA". It matches the Rfam family "Bacterial small subunit ribosomal RNA", at positions 1 to 334 of the family's 1533-position model. The record is from RNAcentral.
GUGAGUAGUUCAGAGUUUGAUCCUGGCUCAGGACGAACGCUGGCGGCGUGCCUAACACAUGCAAGUCGAACGGGGUUACCCUUCGGGGUAACUUAGUGGCGAACGGGUGAGUAACGCGUGAGAAACCUGCCUCUCAGUGGGGGGACAACAGUUGGAAACGACUGCUAAUACCGCAUAACACUUUAGUACCGCAUGGUACAGAAGUCAAAGCUUUAUGUGCUGAGAGAUGGUCUCGCGUCUGAUUAGCUAGUUGGCGGGGUAACGGCCCACCAAGGCGACGAUCAGUAGCCGGUCUGAGAGGAUGAACGGCCACAUUGGGACUGAGAUACGGCCCAG